This 468-nucleotide ribosomal RNA is filed under the name uncultured bacterium. RNAcentral's name for it is "partial 16S ribosomal RNA". It matches the Rfam family "Bacterial small subunit ribosomal RNA", at positions 28 to 507 of the family's 1533-position model. The record is from RNAcentral.
GACGAACGCUGGCGGCGUGCUUAACACAUGCAAGUCGAACGGAAAGGCCCUGCUUUUGUGGGGUGCUCGAGUGGCGAACGGGGGAGUAACACGUGAGUAACCUGCCCUUGACUUUGGGAUAACUUCAGGAAACUGGGGCUAAUACCGUAUAGGAUCUCCUGCUGCAUGGUGGGGGUUGGAAAGUUUCGGCGGUUGGGGAUGGACUCGCGGCUUAUCAGCUUGUUGGUGGGGUAGUGGCUUACCAAGGCUUUGACGGGUAGCCGGCCUGAGAGGGUGACCGGGCACAUUGGGACUGAGAUACGGCCCAGACUCCUACGGGAGGCAGCAGUGGGGAAUAUUGCACAAUGGGCGGAAGCCUGAUGCAGCAACGCCGCGUGCGGGAUGACGGCCUUCGGGUUGUAAACCGCUUUCGCCUGUGACGAAGCGUGAGUGACGGUAAUGGGUAAAGAAGCACCGGCUAACUACGUG